RNAcentral lists this transfer RNA (68 nucleotides) under Boreoheptagyia kurobebrevis. Its description in RNAcentral is "tRNA-Arg". Lineage: Eukaryota; Metazoa; Arthropoda; Insecta; Diptera; Chironomidae. The record is from RNAcentral.
GAAUAUGAAGCGAUAAAUUGCAAUUAGUUUCGACCUAAUUUUAGAUGAAAUUACUUCAUCCUUGUUCU